CCAAUAGCGUAUAUUAAAGUUGUUGCAGUUAAAAAGCUCGUAGUUGAAUUUCGGGGUUAGUAGGUUGGUCAUGCCUCUGGUAUGUACUGGUCUCACUGAUUCCUCCUUCCUGAUGAGCCGUAAUGCCAUUAAUUUGGUGUUGCGGGGAAUUUGGACUGUUACUUUGAAAAAAUUAGAGUGUUUAAAGCAAGCUAACGCUUGAAUACAUUAGCAUGGAAUAAUGAAAUAGGACGUUCGAUCCUAUUUUGUUGGUUUCUAGGAUUGACGUAAUGAUUAAUAGGGAUAGUUGGGGGCAUUAGUAUUCAAUUGUCAGAGGUGAAAUUCUUGGAUUUAUUGAAGACUAACUACUGCGAAAGCAUUUGCCAAGGAUGUUUUCAUUAAUCAAGAACGAAAGUUAGGGGAUCGAAGACGAUCAGAUAUCGUUGUAGUCUUAACAGUAAACUAUGCCGACUAGGGAUCGGGCGAACUCAAAUUUAUGUGUCGCUCGGCACCUUACG
Molecule: ribosomal RNA, 497 nt
Filed under: uncultured Glomus
Lineage: Eukaryota; Fungi; Glomeromycota; Glomeromycetes; Glomerales; Glomeraceae
Description: SSU rRNA
Rfam family: Eukaryotic small subunit ribosomal RNA
Source: RNAcentral